RNAcentral lists this ribosomal RNA (253 nucleotides) under uncultured bacterium. Its description in RNAcentral is "partial 16S ribosomal RNA". It matches the Rfam family "Bacterial small subunit ribosomal RNA", at positions 524 to 776 of the family's 1533-position model. The record is from RNAcentral.
UACGUAGGAGGCAAGCGUUGUCCGGAAUUACUGGGCGUAAAGCGCGUGUAGGUGGUGGGCCAAGUCUGCUGUGAAAGCGCCUGGCUUAACCGGGCGAGGUCGGCGGAAACUGUCCGACUCGAGGACGGUAGAGGGGGGUGGAAUUCCCGGUGUAGUGGUGAAAUGCGUAGAGAUCGGGAGGAACACCUGUGGCGAAGGCGGCCCCCUGGGCCGGCCCUGACACUGAGACGCGAAGGCGUGGGGAGCGAACGGG